CCUACGGGUGACAGCAGUGGGGGAUAUUGCACAAUGGGGGGCACCCUGAUGCAGCGACGCCGCGUGGGUGAAGAAGCGCCUCGGCGCGUAAAGCCCUGUCAGCAGGGAAGAAAAUGACGGUAUCUGAAGAAGAAGCCCCGGCUAACUACGUGCCAGCAGCCGCGGUAAUACGUAGGGGGCAAGCGUUCUCCGGAUUUACUGGGUGGAAAGGGGGCGCAGACGGCGAUGCAAGCCAGGAGUGAAAGCCCGGGGCCCAACCCCGGGACUGCUCUUGGAACUGCGUGGCUGGAGUGCAGGAGGGGCAGGCGGAAUUCCUGGUGUAGCGGUGAAAUGCGUAGAUAUCAGGAGGAACACCGGUGGCGAAGGCGGCCUGCUGGACUGCAACUGACGUUGAGGCCCGAAAGCGUGGGGAGCAAACAGGAUUAGAUACCCUUGUAGUC
This 440-nucleotide ribosomal RNA is filed under the name uncultured bacterium. RNAcentral's name for it is "partial 16S ribosomal RNA". It matches the Rfam family "Bacterial small subunit ribosomal RNA", at positions 338 to 795 of the family's 1533-position model. The record is from RNAcentral.